This 213-nucleotide ribosomal RNA is filed under the name uncultured bacterium. RNAcentral describes it as "partial 16S ribosomal RNA". It matches the Rfam family "Bacterial small subunit ribosomal RNA", at positions 1034 to 1246 of the family's 1533-position model. The record is from RNAcentral.
ACAGGUGGUGCAUGGCUGUCGUCAGCUCGUGUCGUGAGAUGUUGGGUUAAGUCCCGCAACGAGCGCAACCCCCUUUUUUUGUUGCCACCGGGUUAUGGUGGGGACUUUUGAGAGACUGCCGGUGUCAAAUCGGAGGAAGGUGGGGAAGACGUCAAGUCUUCAUGGCCCUUAUGUCCAGGGCUUCACACGUGCUACAAUGGGCCGUACAAAGGG